Molecule: ribosomal RNA, 253 nt
Filed under: uncultured prokaryote
Description: partial 16S ribosomal RNA
Rfam family: Bacterial small subunit ribosomal RNA
Source: RNAcentral
GACGUAGGGGGCCAGCGUUGCUCGGAAUUACUGGGCGUAAAGGGUUCGUAGGCGGUGCGGCAAGUCGGGAGUGAAAUCUCCCGGCUUAACUGGGAGGGUGCGGCGGAAACUGGAGUGCUCGAGGAUGGGAGAGGUAAGCGGAACUCCUGGUGUAGCGGUGAAAUGCGUAGAUAUCAGGAGGAACACCUGUGGUGUAGACAGCUUACUGGACCAUUUCUGACGCUGAGACACGAAAGCGUGGGUAGCAAACAGG